Molecule: ribosomal RNA, 279 nt
Filed under: uncultured bacterium
Lineage: Bacteria
Description: partial 16S ribosomal RNA
Rfam family: Bacterial small subunit ribosomal RNA
Source: RNAcentral
UGCCAGCCGCCGCGGUAAUACGGAGGGGGUUAGCGUUGUUCGGAAUUACUGGGCGUAAAGCGCACGUAGGCGGACUGGAAAGUUGGGGGUGAAAUCCCAGGGCUCAACCCUGGAACUGCCUCCAAAACUAUCAGUCUAGAGUUCGAGAGAGGUGAGUGGAAUUCCGAGUGUAGAGGUGAAAUGCGUAGAUAUAGGAAGGAAUACCGGUGGCGAAGGCGGCCUCCUGGUCCGGAUCUGACGCUGAGGCGCGAAAGCGUGGGGAGCAAACAGGAUUAGAUA